Molecule: RNA transcript, 2207 nt
Organism: Frankliniella occidentalis (western flower thrips)
Lineage: Eukaryota; Metazoa; Arthropoda; Insecta; Thysanoptera; Thripidae
Exons: 5
Source: RefSeq, a predicted model, not a curated record
CAAAUAUGAGAAAUCCUUCUUCACUUCAUAACAGUGUUGUCAAAAAGUUCUGCUCUGCUUUCAAGAUGAUGAGUAAAUAUUUCAUUCAUCCUAUUCCUAAACAUUCUAAAGCUAAAUGUUUCGUUCAUGGCUGCAAGUUUGAGAAGUAUGAUAGACAUGACCCGGAUAGGAAAUAUAUAUCUACUUUCCAUAUACCAAAAAAGCGAGAGGUGUUUGAAAAGUGGGUCCAAUGUUGUGGAAGAAUGGAUCUCCUAGAUGUUCCGAUUGAAUCACUCCAAAGAACUCUGUACAUUUGUGAGCUGCACUUCACUACGCUACAUGGAGGAAUAAAAAGGAAGAGGAUAUCUAAUGAAACUAUUCCUACAUCUUUUCAAAAAGGACACACUCCUCUCUCAGAGGAGGCAAUGAACGCUUGGAGGUCAACGGAGCAUUACAAACAGUAUUGGUCAGCUUUUGAGAAGAAGGUGACUCCUUCCAACAAUGUGCAGCGCUGUCCAAAUCUGCCCAAAAAUUCUACAGCUAUUUACUGCCAGAGCACUGGUCCAUUUCCUUGUUUGUAUUGUGAAACUGUGCACCAACCAACACAAGCCUUAGAUCCUGAUUUGCUGGACUUGGUUCCUGACCUACCAGCUCCCUCAGUGGCUGCAAUUGCCCUGUCUAGUUCUCCUACAAACCAAGAUACAAAGCCUCCAUUACAAGAGGCUGUUGGUAAAUCUUUGUUCAACGUAGUGAAGAAUUAUUUUGAACAGAAUGAAACAGAAGAUCGCAAGUCAUCACAAAAAGUAGUAGUCAUAAAAUGUGCAGAGACCCCUAAAAGAGAAGAAGAAAACCCUGAUACUAAUCCAGAGAAUGAAGAUAAGAAGUUGAUUGUUGUGAAAAUUUCUUCUCCAGAAUCUCAAGUCAAGCAAGAAUCAACUUUACCUCAUAAUCACGCAAAUUUGUUGGAAGUAUUAUCAGACUAUACUGAAUCAAGUGCCACUGAAAUAUGUGAACUUCCUUCUGCUGAAUCUUCUAAAGUGCUUAAAAAACAGAAAACUCCUAUACCUUCCAAGAGAAGCCAUUCUAUCAAAAUUACUCGGCCAAAGGCUGAAAAGCCUAUUUAUCAUAACUUUAAGUUUGUAAGAAGUAUUAUUCCUAUUCCUCCUUCCUAUCAAAAAUUUUGCGGAAAAACUGUAGUCAAUAAUCAAACUCCUCUCAACUCUCAACCAUUAGAGAGAGUUUCAAAUGAGAACCCAUCAAGCAAAGAGAUAAAAGCAAUUGAACCCACACAAAACACAGAAGAAAUGGCUUCUGCGUCGCAAAACAAGAAACAAAAACUUCUUUAAAUCUGUUUGAAGUUUGUCUCACAUCGCAAGUGAAUGCAGCGUGUCAUGUGAUUCACUGACGUCUGUGUCUGUCAAGAAAUGGACAAGUGAGUUGAAAUGAAAGGUGACACGACGAAGACAGGUGCAUUUUCGUUUCCCGCCUGCCCAUCUGACCCGCCGGUCACCUGUCAGCAUUCGGACUGGCCCAUGUGGACGCCGUCGCGCUGGUCGCGCCGAGGCGUGCGCUGCAGCCACUGACCGGACGCCAAGGCUGGCCAAGGCCGCCCCCUCCAGCUCCAUCUCCAGCAGCCUCACGGUUAAGGUAAGCAGCUCAUCAGUCGGACCGCCGCCGCAGAGCACUCCCCAGUCUCCGUCGGACUUUCGCGGAAGGAAGUGCGGCGUUCAACGGCACCUCGCAGCACCCUGGACACCCCUCUUCUGGAGGUCACCGCCCUCGUGAGUCUCUCUGACCCCUGACCUCUCUGUCUCUCCCUUCCUCCCUCGUACUGUCCCCCUUCUCUGCUGCGUCUACCACAACUCUCCAACCGCGACAAUAUUUAGUCCACUCACCCCAGAGCCGAGCCCCCGGCGCGGGUUGAACAGGCGAGUCAAAUACUUUAACGUGUGGGGUUCCCGGUUUCCCCUCCUGCUAGGCUCAGCAUAUAUGCCCCUCUGAACUCCACCUUCUCUCCAGAGUAAUGUCAAAGGUAGUCGCAUGCGGUAGGAUGGGCGUUCGGGAAAACGAGUUCCGGGUGGCCCGGGAGCCUCCUUAAAACAGAGAAAGACAAGGCCGGUUGGACAUGUCGCGUCACCGAAACUUUGUCGUCAGGAGAUCGGGACCGAUCGCGACAAACAAAACAACGCAUUUGUUCGGAUGGAAGUCCCAGUGUGGCAGCGCGAGUA